RNAcentral lists this ribosomal RNA (843 nucleotides) under uncultured Alphaproteobacteria bacterium. RNAcentral describes it as "bacterial SSU rRNA". It matches the Rfam family "Bacterial small subunit ribosomal RNA", at positions 1 to 886 of the family's 1533-position model. The record is from RNAcentral. Lineage: Bacteria; Pseudomonadati; Pseudomonadota; Alphaproteobacteria.
CCGCGGGAUUAGAGUUUGAUCCUGGCUCAGAACGAACGCUGGCGGCAGGCCUCAAACAUGCAAGUCUAGGGGGUGUAGCAAUACAUCACCGGCGGACGGGUGCGUAACGCGUGGGAAUAUACCUAUUGGUUCGGAACAACUGAGGGAAACUUCAGCUAAUACCGGAUGAGCCCGAAAGGGGAAAGAUUUCUCGCCAAUGGAUUAGCCCGCGUCCGAUUAGCUAGUUGGUGGGGUUAUGGCCUACCAAGGCGACGAUCGGUAGCUGUUCUGAGAGGAAGAUCAGCCACACUGGGACUGAGACACGGCCCAGACUCCUACGGGAGGCAGCAGUUGGGAAUCUUGGACAAUGGGGGAAACCCUGAUCCAGCCAUGCCGCGUGAGUGAUGAAGGCCUUCGGGUUGUAAAACUCUUUCGACGGGGACGAUAAUGACGGUACCCGUAGAAGAAGCUCCGGCUAACUUCGUGCCAGCAGCCGCGGUAAUACGAAGGGGGCUAGCGUUGUUCGGAAUUACUGGGCGUAAAGCGCGCGCAGGCGGUCUUCCAAGUCAGUGGUGAAAGCCCGGAGCUCAACUCCGGAACUGCCAUUGAAACUGUGAGACUUGAGUACGAGAGAGGUGAGUGGAAUUCCCAGUGUAGAGGUGAAAUUCGUAGAUAUUGGGAAGAACACCGGUGGCGAAGGCGGCUCACUGGCUCGUAACUGACGCUCAGGCGCGACAGCGUGGGGAUCAAACAGGAUUAGAUACCCUGGUAGUCCACGCCGUANACGAUGAAUGCUAGCCGUUGGAUAGCUUGCUAUUCAGUGGCGCAGCUAACGCAUUAAGCAUUCCGCCUGGGGAGUACGGC